RNAcentral lists this ribosomal RNA (461 nucleotides) under bacterium XBB2004. RNAcentral describes it as "bacterial SSU rRNA". It matches the Rfam family "Bacterial small subunit ribosomal RNA", at positions 28 to 478 of the family's 1533-position model. The record is from RNAcentral.
GAUGAACGCUGGCGGCGUGCCUAACACAUGCAAGUCGAACGGAGAAUUUACGCUGAUGAAGCUUCGGCAGAUUCUUGUAAAUUCUUAGUGGCGGACGGGUGAGUAACGCGUGGGCAACCUGCCUCAUACUGGGGGAUAACAGCUGGAAACGACUGUUAAUACCGCAUAAGCGCACGGUAUCGCAUGAUACAGUGUGAAAAACUCCGGUGGUAUGAGAUGGGCCCGCGUCAGAUUAGCCAGUUGGCAGGGUAACGGCCUACCAAAGCGACGAUCUGUAGCCGGCCUGAGAGGGCGGACGGCCACAUUGGGACUGAGACACGGCCCAAACUCCUACGGGAGGCAGCAGUGGGGGAUAUUGCACAAUGGAGGAAACUCUGAUGCAGCGACGCCGCGUGAGUGAAGAAGUAUUUCGGUAUGUAAAGCUCUAUCAGCAGGGAACGAAAGACUGUAAGAGAGAUGAC